RNAcentral lists this ribosomal RNA (568 nucleotides) under uncultured bacterium. RNAcentral describes it as "partial 16S ribosomal RNA". It matches the Rfam family "Bacterial small subunit ribosomal RNA", at positions 355 to 1375 of the family's 1533-position model. The record is from RNAcentral.
UGGGGAAUAUUGCACAAUGGGCGAAAGCCUGAUGCAGCAACGCCGCGUGAGGGACGACGGCCUUCGGGUUGUAACCUCUUUUAGCAAGGAAGAAGCGAAAGUGACGGNACUUGCAGAAAAAGCGCCGGCUAACUACGUGCCAGCAGCCGCGGUAAUACGUAGGGCGCAAGCGUUAUCCGGAAUUAUUGGGCGUAAAGAGCUCGUAGGCGGUUUGUCGCGUCUGCUGUGAAAAACCCGAGGCUCAACCUCGGGCCUGCAGUGGGUACGGGCAGACUAGAGUGCGGUAGGGGAGAUUGGAACUCCUGGUGUAGCGGUGGAAUGCGCAGAUAUCAGGAAGAACACCGAUGGCGAAGGCAGAUCUCUGGGCCGUAACUGACGCUGAGGAGCGAAAAGGGUGGGGAGCAAACAGGCUUAGAUGACCCUGGUAGUCCACCCCGUAAACGUUGGGAACUAGUUGUGGGUCCAUUCCACGGAUUCCGUGACGCAGCUAACGCAUUAAGUUCCCCGCCUGGGGAGUACGCCGCAAGGCUAAAACUUAAAUGAAUUGACGGGGUCAUAGCUGUUUCCU